AGAAAACUGGACGAAUGGAGGGAGGCAAAGAUGGAGAAAGGGAGUAAUGAAGCUAUGUAUGUGCUUUCCCUGGUGGUUUUAAUGGGUGCAGAAAGCCAUGAAGCUCACGAGGACGCUCGCAACGAAAGAAACAACAUUUCUACUAUUCCUUGUACUCAACAAUGAAGAGAGUUCUCUCCUGCACUGCUGAUGCGUGAGGUUAUCCAGUUCAACCCCAUCAAUGGUCAAAGCCCCC
Molecule: long non-coding RNA, 235 nt
Filed under: Cottoperca gobio
Lineage: Eukaryota; Metazoa; Chordata; Actinopteri; Perciformes; Bovichtidae
Description: lncRNA (ENSCGOG00000006006.1)
Source: RNAcentral